Molecule: ribosomal RNA, 908 nt
Filed under: Hyaloscypha spinulosa
Lineage: Eukaryota; Fungi; Ascomycota; Leotiomycetes; Helotiales; Hyaloscyphaceae
Description: LSU rRNA
Rfam family: Eukaryotic large subunit ribosomal RNA
Source: RNAcentral
GCAUAUCAAUAAGCGGAGGAAAAGAAACCAACAGGGAUUGCCUCAGUAACGGCGAGUGAAGCGGCAACAGCUCAAAUUUGAAAUCUGGCUCUUUCAGGGUCCGAGUUGUAAUUUGUAGAAGAUGCUUUGGGUGUAGCUCCGGUCUAAGUUCCUUGGAACAGGACGUCAUAGAGGGUGAGAAUCCCGUACGUGACUGGUUGCUUUCGCUCGUGUAAAGCUCUUUCGACGAGUCGAGUUGUUUGGGAAUGCAGCUCAAAAUGGGUGGUAAAUUUCAUCUAAAGCUAAAUAUUGGCCAGAGACCGAUAGCGCACAAGUAGAGUGAUCGAAAGAUGAAAAGCACUUUGGAAAGAGAGUUAAACAGUACGUGAAAUUGUUGAAAGGGAAGCGCUUGCAACCAGACUUGCACGCUGUUGAUCAUCCGAGAUUUUUCCCGGUGCACUCGGCAGUGUUCAGGCCAGCAUCGGUUUUGGUGGGCGGAUAAAGGCCUUGGGAAUGUAGCUUCUUUCGGGGAGUGUUAUAGCCCUCGGUGCAAUGCGCCCUACCGGGACCGAGGACCGCGCUUCGGCUAGGAUGCUGGCGUAAUGGUUGUAAGCGACCCGUCUUGAAACACGGACCAAGGAGUCUAACAUCUAUGCGAGUGUUUGGGUGUCAAACCCAUACGCGUAAUGAAAGUGAACGGAGGUGAGAACCCUUAAGGGUGCAUCAUCGACCGAUCCUGAUGUCUUCGGAUGGAUUUGAGUAAGAGCAUAGCUGUUGGGACCCGAAAGAUGGUGAACUAUGCCUGAAUAGGGUGAAGCCAGAGGAAACUCUGGUGGAGGCUCGCAGCGGUUCUGACGUGCAAAUCGAUCGUCAAAUUUGGGUAUAGGGGCGAAAGACUAAUCGAACCAUCUAGUAGCUGGUUCUGCGAG